GCCGGUGCACGCAAGUACACCUAUGAACAGGGGAUCUUUCAAACGGGGGUUACGGGUUCGAGUCCCGUAGUCGGCUCCA
Molecule: transfer RNA, 79 nt
Filed under: Microbacterium maritypicum
Lineage: Bacteria; Bacillati; Actinomycetota; Actinomycetes; Micrococcales; Microbacteriaceae
Also listed under: 1 other name
Description: tRNA-OTHER
Source: RNAcentral